AACCCUUUUCCCCAGGAUGGACAUGUCCAAUACUAGAGAGCAGAGCUGUAAGGUGAGUGGGGAA
This is a long non-coding RNA of Amblyraja radiata (thorny skate), 64 nucleotides long. RefSeq lists it as uncharacterized. The record is from RefSeq and is a predicted model, not a curated record. The transcript has 3 exons. NCBI's taxonomy places the organism in Eukaryota, Metazoa, Chordata, Chondrichthyes, Rajiformes, Rajidae.